CGAGGAAUCAUUCGACACAAACUACUCUUUGCCAAGAAAUUAGCAACUCUCGGUCGAUGAAAUGCUUUUGUUGCAGGGUAACUCCGACUCGAUUCAUUCACAUCAAAUGCUUCUGUUGUUGCCAGCUAAAGUGAUGCUCAAAUGCUGUUCUUUGCUCGAUCAGAAGGUAAUAACCAUGCGAUUCUUAUUCCGACCAACUUGAGUCUUUUGAUGCCGUUUGAGUUUGAUGGGCACUAUGUUGCUUGCUUGCUUGCGUGGUGUUUGUGUGAAUGCCUGCAAGACAUGCUUGUCAGCAGCACAGCAUUUAGCUGGUGAUGGGUGGAUAACUUGGAAUUCGGGAGAGGGGUUCGUUUCUCUUGUCCAAGAUGUUCACUUUCAUCUGCUGAUGUAUAUUCUAAAGGAUUGGAAGGGCAUUGGUGCAUUUCUUUUUUUCUUAGUCGUAUGGAAUCUGGUGAAAUUAGGAUUCGUGUGAGUGGGUCACAACAACUGUUUGAUAAAAUGUUUAAAGAAGUGUGAUGAUUCUUAUGCCAUGCAAAUGUUAAGAUUUGAAAUUUGAUCAUGUACUUGGACAAACGACUAUUUGCAC
RNAcentral lists this long non-coding RNA (586 nucleotides) under Musa acuminata (dwarf banana). Its description in RNAcentral is "long non-coding RNA (MACU_LNC006641)". The record is from RNAcentral. Lineage: Eukaryota; Viridiplantae; Streptophyta; Magnoliopsida; Zingiberales; Musaceae.